This 252-nucleotide ribosomal RNA is filed under the name uncultured Nitrosomonadaceae bacterium. RNAcentral describes it as "partial 16S ribosomal RNA". It matches the Rfam family "Bacterial small subunit ribosomal RNA", at positions 542 to 793 of the family's 1533-position model. Lineage: Bacteria; Pseudomonadati; Pseudomonadota; Betaproteobacteria; Nitrosomonadales; Nitrosomonadaceae. The record is from RNAcentral.
UAUUCGGAAUUAUUGGGCGUAAAGAGUGCGCAGGCGGUUUUUUAAGUCGGAUGUGAAAUCCCCGGGCUCAACCCCGGACCUGCAUUCGAAACUGCCAAGCUAGAGUGUGUCAGAGGGGGGUGGAAUUCCACGUGUAGCGGUGAAAUGCGCAGAGAUAUGGAGGAACACCAAUGGCGAAGGCAGCCCCCUGGGCCAUCACUGACGCUCAGGCACGAAAGCGUGGGGAGCAAACAGGAUUAGAUACCCCGGUAG